Molecule: transfer RNA, 76 nt
Filed under: Bacillota bacterium
Lineage: Bacteria; Bacillati; Bacillota
Also listed under: 2 other names
Description: Firmicutes bacterium tRNA-Ala
Rfam family: tRNA
About the family: Transfer RNA (tRNA) molecules are approximately 80 nucleotides in length.
Source: RNAcentral
GGGGAUAUAGCACAGUUGGUAGCGCGAUACGUUCGCAACGUAUAGGUCACGAGUUCGAGUCUCGUUAUCUCCACCA